AAAACGACUCUCGGCAACGGAUAUCUCGGCUCUCGCAUCGAUGAAGGACGUAGCGAAAUGCGAUACUUGGUGUGAAUUGCAGAAUCCCGUGAACCAUCGAGUCUUUGAACGCAAGUUGCGCCCGAAGCCGUCAGGCCGAGGGCACGUCUGCCUGGGCGUCACGC
Molecule: ribosomal RNA, 164 nt
Filed under: Cordia subcordata (kerosene tree)
Lineage: Eukaryota; Viridiplantae; Streptophyta; Magnoliopsida; Boraginales; Cordiaceae
Description: 5.8S ribosomal RNA
Rfam family: 5.8S ribosomal RNA
About the family: 5.8S ribosomal RNA (5.8S rRNA) is a component of the large subunit of the eukaryotic ribosome. It is transcribed by RNA polymerase I as part of the 45S precursor that also contains 18S and 28S rRNA.
Source: RNAcentral